AUUGAACGCUGGCGGCAGGCCUAACACAUGCAAGUCGAGCGAGCGGCGGACGGGUGAGUAAUGUGUGGGGAUCUGCCCGAGAGAGGGGGAUAACUACACGAAACGGUGGAUCAUACCGCAUAUUGUCGGAUGAAUCCAUAUGGGAUUAUCUAGUAGGUAAGGUAAUGGCUUACCAAGGGGCCGAUCCCUCUCUGGUAUGAGAGGAUGACCAGCCACACUGGGACUGAGACACGGCCCAGACUCCUACGGGAGGCAGCAGUGGGGAAUAUUGCACAAUGGGCGCAAGCCUGAUGCAGCCAUGCCGCGUGUAUGAAGAAGGCCUUCGGGUUGUAAAGUACUUUCAGUCGGGAGGCGUUACCGGCAGAAGAAGCACCGGCUAACUCCGUGCCAGCAGCCGCGGUAAUUC
Molecule: ribosomal RNA, 406 nt
Filed under: uncultured bacterium
Lineage: Bacteria
Description: partial 16S ribosomal RNA
Rfam family: Bacterial small subunit ribosomal RNA
Source: RNAcentral